AUUCCACAAAUCUUGCACCUGUUAUCAGUUAGCACCGUCUUCAAUAUCUUCUAACGUUAGCUUCAAUACCUUCAACACCUUCAAUUGGCUUCCAACACCUGCUGCACCUAAAGGUGAUCAGCUGAGAUCUGUUCAUCUUUGAACAAGCACAAAAACACUUCCAGUAGAAUCUUUUGGUGCAACACUUCAGGUUUGAGUAGACUAUAAACCAAGAAGGACAUUUUAUGAGAUACUUCUACCCCAUUUCCUCCUUUCAGCUCCUUCUACAUGCCAGCUGAUCUCAGAACACCUGAAGUAGAUGCAAUUUCAUAACUUGCUGCAGUCCAGUAUCAAGAUGAAAACUGAAACCUGUCCUUGAAGUGUAGUUCUGCUAUAUGACACAAAAGAAGCAAUCUGGCAUUGUCACAGGCAUGCAAAAAUCUCACCCUGCCAGAAAUUGUUUGUUUUUGUGUUUUACAUAUUCUUUCCCUUUUUGUUCUUCAUUUUCUUCCUUUUCGUGUCACUAUGAUGAAAUCAUGGAAGAUA
This is a long non-coding RNA of Struthio camelus australis, 525 nucleotides long. RefSeq lists it as uncharacterized. The record is from RefSeq and is a predicted model, not a curated record. NCBI's taxonomy places the organism in Eukaryota, Metazoa, Chordata, Aves, Struthioniformes, Struthionidae.